GAUGAAGAACGCAGCGAAAUGCGAAAAGUAAUGUGAAUUGCAGAAUUCAGUGAAUCAUCGAAUCUUUGAACGCACAUUGCGCCCGCCAGUAUUCUGGCGGGCAUGCCUGUCUGAGCGUCAUUUCAACCCUCAUGCCCCUAGGGCGUGGUGUUGGGGAUCGGCCAGCGCCCGCGAGGGACGGCCGGCCCCUAAAUCUAGUGGCGGACCCGUCGUGGCCUCCCCUGCGAAGUAGUGAUAUUCCGCAUAGGAGAGCGACGAGCCCCUGCCGUUAAACCCCCAACUUUCUCAGGUUGACCUCAGAUCAGGUAGGAAUACCCGCUGAACUUAAGCAUAUCAAUAAGCGGAGGA
Molecule: unclassified non-coding RNA, 348 nt
Filed under: soil metagenome
Description: partial contains 5.8S ribosomal RNA, internal transcribed spacer 2, and large subunit ribosomal RNA
Rfam family: 5.8S ribosomal RNA (bases 1-120)
Source: RNAcentral